RNAcentral lists this unclassified non-coding RNA (416 nucleotides) under fungal sp. Its description in RNAcentral is "partial internal transcribed spacer region". The stretch from base 1 to 46 matches the Rfam family "Eukaryotic small subunit ribosomal RNA", at positions 1786 to 1831 of the family's 1831-position model. Lineage: Eukaryota; Fungi. The record is from RNAcentral.
AAGUCGUAACAAGGUUUCCGUAGGUGAACCUGCGGAAGGAUCAUUAACACGUUUUUUUAAACCAAAACGUACUAAAACUCUGUGAACGAGAUUUCCGAAUAUUAAUCUCACAACUAAUAAUAUUAUUAUUUAAUAUUAAUAUUUCGGUAUUAAUAUUAUUAAUAAUAUUAUUAGGAUUAUAUUUGGGUAACAUAAAUCUCACUAUUUUUAUUCCAAUAUCACCAACCCCUAAAACUACUUAAUACUAUAUGGUGAAAUACCCAUAUAUGUAUUCUGUAUGUUUGUAACUAAACUUUUUCUUCAUUUCAUGCCUAAAAAACAUGAAAGCAAAAGGAUAGUAUUAUCUUCGGAUAUACUUUAUCUUUUUAUGAACCAAAACUGUUGUACAACUCUUAGCAACGGAUAUCUUGGUUCCC